GCGCCGCAUCACGAUCCCCCGAAUGGGGAACCAACCGAGCGGCACGCCACGGUGGUUAAAAGGAUGUGGGUCGUUUCAGAUCAAAAAAGCGCAACUCU
RNAcentral lists this non-coding RNA (98 nucleotides) under Bacteroidota bacterium. RNAcentral's name for it is "Bacteroidetes bacterium SAM-I-IV sequence". It matches the Rfam family "SAM-I/IV (S-adenosyl methionine) riboswitch aptamer". Rfam says of the family: It is found upstream of a number of genes which code for proteins involved in methionine or cysteine biosynthesis. It has been found mostly in the order Actinomycetales. The record is from RNAcentral. Lineage: Bacteria; Pseudomonadati; Bacteroidota.